CAGUAAUAUUCCUAAACAAAGGUUGAAAUCAUGCCCUAUCACUUCUGGUGGGUUCCAAAAGCCGAAGAAGAACGGCAACCUUCUUGUGUGGAUACUAGUGCCAAUCCUAGGAGCACUCGUCAUUCUCUCUAUAUGUGCAGGCGCAUUUACCUACUACAUUCGGAAACGAAAACCACACAAUGGAAGAAACACAGAUUCUGAAACUGGAGAGAAUAUGUCCAUAUUCAGCGUUGAUGGCAAAUUCAAAUACCAAGAUAUCAUCGAAUCAACAAACGAAUUCGAUCAAAGAUACCUCAUCGGAAGCGGAGGAUACAGCAAAGUCUACAAAGCAAACCUCCCAGAUGCGAUCGUAGCCGUGAAAAGGCUACAUGAUACAAUAGACGAAGAGAUAUCAAAGCCAGUGGUGAAGCAAGAGUUCCUAAACGAAGUAAGAGCGUUAACAGAGAUCCGUCACCGCAACGUGGUGAAGCUCUUCGGCUUCUGCUCCCACCGCCGCCACACGUUUCUGAUCUACGAGUACAUGGAAAAAGGAAGUUUAAACAAACUCUUAGCCAACGAAGAAGAAGCUAAGCGACUCACUUGGACCAAGAGGAUCAACAUCGUGAAAGGUGUGGCUCACGCGUUAUCGUAUAUGCACCAUGACCGAUCAACUCCGAUCGUCCACCGUGAUAUUAGCAGCGGCAACAUCCUUCUCGAUAAUGAUUACACAGCUAAGAUCUCUGAUUUUGGCACAGCGAAGCUUCUCAAGACGGAUUCAUCAAACUGGUCCGCCGUUGCUGGAACCUACGGCUACGUCGCUCCAGGUAAAUCUAAAUCAAUGAAAUUAAAAAAUCCCUAAAUUAAUUCGAAAUUGAAAUUGACUGUUUCUGAAAUUUUCGCAACAGAGUUUGCUUACACGAUGAAGGUGACGGAGAAAUGCGAUGUGUAUAGCUUCGGGGUUUUGAUACUCGAGGUUAUAAUGGGGAAGCAUCCGGGAGAUUUGGUUGCGAGUUUGUCUUCGUCUCCGGGAGAAACUCUGUCCCUGAGAAGCAUUUCCGAUGAACGUAUAUUAGAACCACGGGGGCAGAAUAGAGAGAAGCUCAUAAAGAUGGUGGAAGUGGCUUUAUCGUGUUUACAAGCAGAUCCGCAAUCUCGGCCAACGAUGUUAUCAAUCUCUACAGCUUUUUCUUAGAACUCAUCUUCAUCAAUUUCUUCGACGAGGUAAAGAAAAUAACAAACUUUUUUAUAUAUUAUAAAUGUGUUUAUCAAUGCAACCGUAGUUAAAAAUUAAAAUCGUUUUUUUGGAAAGAAGGGAAGAAGAAAGAGAAGUCGUAAGGUGAAAGAAGAAUAAAGAAGAAAAGAACUUUGCUCUACUUUCUCUGCUCUACUUUCUCUGCUCAUUGCAAUGUCACUUCACGCCGUUCGAGUACUAUCCUGUGUUCUCUCUCUAAACCUUCACUUAAUUUGGCUAAACCUGUGUCUGGAUUUCUUUCUCCUUCCACUGCGUCGACGUCUCGAACCGCAUUCACCGUCGCUCCUAAAUCUCAAGAACUUGACUGUUCUUUAUCUUCAUCAGAAUUAUAUAACUGGUGUCAUUCCCCCAGAACUAGGCAACAUGGAAUCCAUGAUUGAUUUAGAGUUAAGUCAGAACAAUCUUACUGGUUCAAUUCCUUCUUCUUUUGGUAACUUUACCAAGCUGGAAAGUUUGUACCUCCGUGAUAACCACCUCUCUGGUACGAUCCCGCGAGGAGUGGCAAACUCUUCAGAGCUAACUGAAUUGCUACUCGACAUAAACAAUUUCACCGGUUUCUUGCCUGAAAACAUUUGCAAAGGUGGCAAGCUUCAGAAUUUUUCAUUAGAUUAUAAUCACCUCGAAGGUCAUAUCCCGAAAAGCUUGAGAGAUUGCAAGAGCCUGAUCAGAGCAAAAUUUGUAGGGAACAAAUUCAUUGGAAAUAUUUCUGAAGCAUUUGGGGUUUACCCAGAUCUUGAUUUCAUUGAUCUCAGCCAUAAUAAAUUCAACGGUGAAAUUUCAAGCAACUGGCAGAAGAGUCCAAAGCUAGGUGCCUUGAUCAUGUCAAACAACAACAUCACAGGUGCUAUUCCACCAGAGAUUUGGAACAUGAAACAACUGGGCGAGCUAGAUCUGUCUACCAACAACCUCACUGGUGAGCUUCCAGAAGCAAUUGGAAAUCUCACGGGUUUGUCGAAGCUACUACUGAAUGGGAAUAAGUUAUCUGGAAGAGUUCCUACGGGUUUAAGUUUCUUAACCAAUCUUGAGUCUCUUGACUUAUCCUCAAACAGAUUCAGCUCCCAGAUCCCACAAACCUUCGACUCCUUUUUAAAGCUUCAUGAAAUGAACCUGAGCAAAAACAAUUUCGAUGGACGCAUUCCCGGACUAACAAAGCUGACUCAGUUAACGCAUCUUGAUCUCAGCCACAACCAGCUCGACGGAGAAAUCCCAUCACAGCUCAGCUCCUUGCAGAGCCUCGACAAGCUCAACCUCUCACACAACAAUCUCUCAGGUUUCAUUCCAACAACUUUCGAGAGCAUGAAAGCGCUGACGUUCAUCGAUAUAUCAAAUAAUAAACUCGAGGGUCCGCUUCCAGACAAUCCAGCGUUUCAAAACGCAACAUCAGAUGCAUUGGAGGGAAACAGAGGCUUAUGCAGUAAUAUUCCUAAACAAAGGUUGAAAUCAUGCCCUAUCACUUCUGGUGGGUUCCAAAAGCCGAAGAAGAACGGCAACCUUCUUGUGUGGAUACUAGUGCCAAUCCUAGGAGCACUCGUCAUUCUCUCUAUAUGUGCAGGCGCAUUUACCUACUACAUUCGGAAACGAAAACCACACAAUGGAAGAAACACAGAUUCUGAAACUGGAGAGAAUAUGUCCAUAUUCAGCGUUGAUGGCAAAUUCAAAU
This 2891-nucleotide long non-coding RNA is filed under the name Arabidopsis lyrata. RNAcentral describes it as "long non-coding RNA (ALYR_LNC003186)". Lineage: Eukaryota; Viridiplantae; Streptophyta; Magnoliopsida; Brassicales; Brassicaceae. The record is from RNAcentral.